RNAcentral lists this ribosomal RNA (898 nucleotides) under Neonectria neomacrospora. RNAcentral describes it as "partial large subunit ribosomal RNA". It matches the Rfam family "Eukaryotic large subunit ribosomal RNA", at positions 38 to 964 of the family's 3401-position model. The record is from RNAcentral. Lineage: Eukaryota; Fungi; Ascomycota; Sordariomycetes; Hypocreales; Nectriaceae.
GCAUAUCAAUAAGCGGAGGAAAAGAAACCAACAGGGGAUUGCCCUUAGUAACGGCGAAGUGAAGCGGCAACAGCUCAAAUUUGAAAUCUGGCCCCCGGGUCCGAGUUGUAAUUUGUAGAGGAUGCUUUUGGUGCGGUACCUUCCGAGUUCCCUGGAACGGGACGCCAUAGAGGGUGAGAGCCCCGUCUGGUUGGACGCCAAUCCUUUGUAAAGCUCCUUCAACGAGUCGAGUAGUUUGGGAAUGCUGCUCUAAAUGGGAGGUAUAUGUCUUCUAAAGCUAAAUAUUGGCCAGAGACCGAUAGCGCACAAGUAGAGUGAUCGAAAGAUGAAAAGCACUUUGAAAAGAGAGUUAAAAAGUACGUGAAAUUGUUGAAAGGGAAGCGCUCAUGACCAGACUUGGGCUCGGUUGAUCAUCCAGGGUUCUCCCUGGUGCACUCUCCCGGCCCAGGCCAGCAUCAGUUCGCCGCGGGGGACAAAGGCGUCGGGAAUGUGGCUCCCUCGGGAGUGUUAUAGCCCGUCGUGCAAUACCCUGUGGUGGACUGAGGUUCGCGCAUUCGCAAGGAUGCUGGCGUAAUGGUCAUCAGCGACCCGUCUUGAAACACGGACCAAGGAGUCGUCUUCGUAUGCGAGUGUUCGGGUGUCAAACCCCUACGCGUAAUGAAAGUGAACGCAGGUGAGAGCUUCGGCGCAUCAUCGACCGAUCCUGAUGUUCUCGGAUGGAUUUGAGUAAGAGCAUACGGGGCCGGACCCGAAAGAAGGUGAACUAUGCCUGUAUAGGGUGAAGCCAGAGGAAACUCUGGUGGAGGCUCGCAGCGGUUCUGACGUGCAAAUCGAUCGUCAAAUAAUGGGCAUGGGGGCGAAAGACUAAUCGAACCUUCUAGUAGCUGGUUUCCGCCGA